RNAcentral lists this ribosomal RNA (497 nucleotides) under uncultured bacterium. RNAcentral describes it as "partial 16S ribosomal RNA". It matches the Rfam family "Bacterial small subunit ribosomal RNA", at positions 28 to 507 of the family's 1533-position model. The record is from RNAcentral.
GACGAACGCUGGCGGCGUGCCUAAUACAUGCAAGUUGAGCGCUGAAGGUUGGUACUUGUACCAACUGGAUGAGCAGCGAACGGGUGAGUAACGCGUGGGGAAUCUGCCUUUGAGCGGGGGACAACAUUUGGAAACGAAUGCUAAUACCGCAUAAAAACUUUAAACACAAGUUUUAAGUUUGAAAGAUGCAAUUGCAUCACUCAAAGAUGAUCCCGCGUUGUAUUAGCUAGUUAGUGAGGUAAAGGCUCACCAAGGCGAUGAUACAUAGCCGACCUGAGAGGGUGAUCGGCCACAUUGGGACUGAGACACGGCCCAAACUCCUACGGGAGGCAGCAGUAGGGAAUCUUCGGCAAUGGACGAAAGUCUGACCGAGCAACGCCGCGUGAGUGAAGAAGGUUUUCGGAUCGUAAAACUCUGUUGGUAGAGAAGAACGUUGGUGAGAGUGGAAAGCUCAUCAAGUGACGGUAACUACCCAGAAAGGGACGGCUAACUACGUG